AGCCUUACAGCUAGCCUACAAUAAAAAGCAACAAACAACUAUGAAUACCCCCUCAGACACUAAAACCUAAAUAAACAAACCAUUUUUCCCCCCAAGUACGGGCGACAGAAAAG
Molecule: ribosomal RNA, 113 nt
Filed under: Macroramphosus sagifue
Lineage: Eukaryota; Metazoa; Chordata; Actinopteri; Syngnathiformes; Centriscidae
Description: partial 16S ribosomal RNA
Source: RNAcentral